Molecule: long non-coding RNA, 823 nt
Organism: Grammomys surdaster
Lineage: Eukaryota; Metazoa; Chordata; Mammalia; Rodentia; Muridae
Exons: 4
Source: RefSeq, a predicted model, not a curated record
GAUGGGGGCGGGGACUGUCCAGUGAUUCCUCCGUGUGAUAGAUGACCAAGUGACUGCAGCCAUGGGGUCUACACACCAGUGCAAGACACUGAGAUUGCUUGUAGCUGAUUUGAUCAAACUCUGCCUUCCUAAACUGGAAUGAAAUGCAGAUAACUCGUUAACAAACUUGUGUGGGGAAAAGUGCCUUGUGUGAUCAGAACAAAGCCGUUUUAUAAUCAGAUUUACCAAGCUGAGAAGAGAGAGUUUCAGCAAAUGGAAGCCUCCGCAUUCUGUCACCAGGAAACACUACGUUAUCCAGAGUCGGUCUGUGGUGGAAUGGACUUUGGGAGUUUCAGGGAUCCAAGCUCAUUCUUGACCAGCCACACACUGGGAAAACCUGUCUAGGGUCACUAUGGCACAGUCCAGCAUCUACAACUAAACUGAGGCCAGAAGAAGAAUGCUGUUGUUAGGAUGUGGUAUGGUCCUUGGUUUGUACUAAGCUUUUUCCAACAAAAUACUUGUUCCUUGAGCCAGUUGAAGAAGUAGAUUCAUUUUCACUGCGUGGCAACUAGCCUCAACCCAUUUAGAAUCAAAUACUUGAUUAUAGGUAAGAACUAUAUACUGCUGUCUUUCUUACAUUCUCUAAAGGUUAUAUAAAACAACUAGUAUCUCCAUUGCCUUUUAUUCAAUACAGUUCAGUCCAAUAAGUCUUAGUUACCUUUUCCAUUUUCUCCUUGUUAUACUAGUAGAAUCCAGAUUUUUCUUUCCUCUUUCUCUUCGCUGAGCAUUGCAUGCUGUAGCUGGCAGCUUUAUCAAAUAGAGUCUGUAAGUAUAAUGAUAUACA